This 173-nucleotide non-coding RNA is filed under the name Bacillus sp. (in: firmicutes). Its description in RNAcentral is "Bacillus sp. GlcN6P sequence". It matches the Rfam family "glmS glucosamine-6-phosphate activated ribozyme aptamer". Rfam says of the family: This entry contains a glucosamine-6-phosphate activated ribozyme that is found in the mRNA for GlmS. GlmS is an enzyme that uses fructose-6-phosphate and glutamine to generate glucosamine-6-phosphate. Lineage: Bacteria; Bacillati; Bacillota; Bacilli; Caryophanales; Bacillaceae. The record is from RNAcentral.
CUUAUAAUUAUAGCGCCCGAACUAAGCGCCCGAAAAACGGCUUAGUUGACGAGGAUGGAGGUUAUCGAAUUUUCGGCGGAUGCCUCCCGGCUGAUUUAUGUUAGAUCACAGCCGUAAGGAUUUCUUCAAACCGGAGGGGCGACUCUCCGAACAAAGAGAAAUCACAUGAUCUU